GUUGACCUCGGAUUCAGGUUAGGGAUACCCGCUUGAACUUAAGCAUAUCAAUAAGCGGAGGAAAAGAAACAACCGGGAUUGCCUCAGUAACGGCGAGUGAAGCGCAACAGCUCAAAUUUGAAAUCUGGCUCCCUCGGGUCCGAGUUGUAAUUUGUAGAGGGUGUUUCGGGGGCGUGCCGGUCUAAGUUCCUUGGAACAGGACGUCAUAGAGGGUGAGAAUCCCGUCUGCGACCUGGCCGCCAACCCCGGGUGAAACCCCUUCGACGAGUCGAGUUGUUUGGGAAUGCAGCUCAAAAUGGGUGGUAAAUUUCAUCUAAAGCUAAAUACGGGCCAGAGACCGAUAGCGCACAAGUAGAGUGAUCGAAAGAUGAAAAGCACUUUGGAAAGAGAGUUAAAAAGUACGUGAAAUUGUUGAAAGGGAAGCGCUUGCGACCAGACCUGCCGCCGGGUGAUCAUCCACUACUCGUAGCGGUGCACUCGCCCGGACGCAGGCCAGCAUCGGUUCAGGCGGCGGGAGAAAGGGUCCGGGAACGUAGCUUCCUCCGGGGAGCCUUAUAGCCCGGACUGCCAUGCCGCCCGCCCGGACCGAGGACCGCGCUUCGGCUAGAUGCUGGCGUAUGUCGUAAGCGACCGUUCUUGAAACCACGGACCCAGGAGUUCUACCAUCUAUGCGAGUGUUUGGGUUGUUAACCCGGGCGCGGACUGAAAGUGAACGGAGGUUGAGACCCGGCGACGGGUGCAUCAUCGACCGAUCCAAAUGUCUUCGGAUGGAUUUGAGUACGAGCAUGGCUGUGGGACCCGAAAGAUGAUGAACUAUGCCUGAAUAGGGUGAAGCCAGAGGAAACUCUGGUGGAGGCUCGCAGCGGUUCUGACGUGCAAAUCGAUCGUCGAAUUUGGGUAUAGGGGCGAAAGACUUAUCGAAUCAU
This 926-nucleotide ribosomal RNA is filed under the name Staurolemma omphalarioides. Its description in RNAcentral is "LSU rRNA". It matches the Rfam family "Eukaryotic large subunit ribosomal RNA", at positions 1 to 943 of the family's 3401-position model. The record is from RNAcentral. Lineage: Eukaryota; Fungi; Ascomycota; Lecanoromycetes; Peltigerales; Collemataceae.